Molecule: transfer RNA, 88 nt
Filed under: Acholeplasma laidlawii
Lineage: Bacteria; Bacillati; Mycoplasmatota; Mollicutes; Acholeplasmatales; Acholeplasmataceae
Description: tRNA-Ser
Rfam family: tRNA
About the family: Transfer RNA (tRNA) molecules are approximately 80 nucleotides in length. Their secondary structure includes four short double-helical elements and three loops (D, anti-codon, and T loops). Further hydrogen bonds mediate the characteristic L-shaped molecular structure. tRNAs have two regions of fundamental functional importance: the anti-codon, which is responsible for specific mRNA codon recognition, and the 3' end, to which the tRNAs corresponding amino acid is attached (by aminoacyl-tRNA synthetases). tRNAs cope with the degeneracy of the genetic code in two manners: having more than one tRNA (with a specific anti-codon) for a particular amino acid; and 'wobble' base-pairing, i.e. permitting non-standard base-pairing at the 3rd anti-codon position.
Source: RNAcentral
GGAGGAAUACCCAAGAGGCUGAAGGGAUCGGUCUUGAAAACCGACAGGGUGUAAAAGCCGCGGGGUUCAAAUCCCUCUUCCUCCGCCA